AUACGGAGGAUGCGAGCGUUAUCCGGAUUUAUUGGGUUUAAAGGGAGCGUAGGUGGGAUAUUAAGUCAGCUGUGAAAGUUUGGGGCUCAACCUUAAAAUUGCAGUUGAUACUGGUUUCCUUGAGUACGGUACAGGUGGGCGGAAUUCGUGGUGUAGCGGUGAAAUGCUUAGAUAUCACGAAGAACUCCGAUCGCGAAGGCAGCUCACCGGGCCGGAACUGACACUGAUGCUCGAAAGUGCGGGUAUCAAACAGGAUUAGAUACCCUGGUAGUCCGCACAGUAAACGAUGAAUACUCGCUGUUUGCGAUACACGGUAAGCGGCCAAGCGAAAGCGAUAAGUAUUCCACCUGGGGAGUACGCCGGCAACGGUGAAACUCAAAUGAAUUGACGGGG
This 393-nucleotide ribosomal RNA is filed under the name uncultured bacterium. Its description in RNAcentral is "partial 16S ribosomal RNA". It matches the Rfam family "Bacterial small subunit ribosomal RNA", at positions 523 to 918 of the family's 1533-position model. The record is from RNAcentral.